This 497-nucleotide ribosomal RNA is filed under the name uncultured bacterium. Its description in RNAcentral is "partial 16S ribosomal RNA". It matches the Rfam family "Bacterial small subunit ribosomal RNA", at positions 28 to 507 of the family's 1533-position model. The record is from RNAcentral.
GAUGAACGCUGGCGGCGUGCCUAAUACAUGCAAGUCGAGCGAACAGACGAGGAGCUUGCUCCUCUGACGUUAGCGGCGGACGGGUGAUUAACACGUGGAUAACCUACCUAUAAGACUGGGAUAACUUCGGGAAACCGGAGCUAAUACCGGAUAAUAUAUUUAACCGCAUGGUUCAAUAGUGAAAGACGGUUUUGCUGUCACUUAUAGAUGGAUCCGCGCCGCAUUAGCUAGUUGGUAAGGUAACGGCUUACCAAGGCAACGAUGCGUAGCCGACCUGAGAGGGUGAUCGGCCACACUGAAACUGAGACACGGUCCAGACUCCUACGGGAGGAAGCAGUAGGGAAUCUUCCGCAAUGGGCGAAAGCCUGACGGAGCAACGCCGCGUGAGUGAUGAAGGUAUUAUGAUCGUAAAACUCUGUUAUUCGGGAAGAACAAAUGUGUAAGUAACUAUGCACGUCUUGACGGUACCUAAUCAGAAAGCCACGGCUAAAUACGUG